This 449-nucleotide ribosomal RNA is filed under the name uncultured bacterium. Its description in RNAcentral is "partial 16S ribosomal RNA". It matches the Rfam family "Bacterial small subunit ribosomal RNA", at positions 29 to 523 of the family's 1533-position model. The record is from RNAcentral.
AACGAACGCUGGCGGCAUGCCUAAUACAUGCAAGUCGAACGAUCACUUCGGUGAUAGUGGCGCACGGGUGCGUAACGCGUGGGAAUCUGCCCUUGGGUUCGGAAUAACUUCUGGAAACGGAAGCUAAUACCGGAUGAUGACGUAAGUCCAAAGAUUUAUCGCCCAAGGAUGAGCCCGCGUAGGAUUAGCUAGUUGGUGGGGUAAAGGCCUACCAAGGCGACGAUCCUUAGCUGGUCUGAGAGGAUGAUCAGCCACACUGGGACUGAGACACGGCCCAGACUCCUACGGGAGGCAGCAGUAGGGAAUAUUGGACAAUGGGCGAAAGCCUGAUCCAGCAAUGCCGCGUGAGUGAUGAAGGCCUUAGGGUUGUAAAGCUCUUUUACCCGGGAUGAUAAUGACAGUACCGGGAGAAUAAGCUCCGGCUAACUCCGUGCCAGCAGCCGCGGUAA